This 72-nucleotide transfer RNA is filed under the name Uroteuthis chinensis. Its description in RNAcentral is "tRNA-Leu". The record is from RNAcentral. Lineage: Eukaryota; Metazoa; Mollusca; Cephalopoda; Myopsida; Loliginidae.
UAUUAAGAAGAAACAAUAAUAUUUCCCUAAUAGAAGCUUAAAUUCUAUGCACUGAUCUGCCACCUUAAUAAU